GACGAACGCUGGCGGCGUGCUUAACACAUGCAAGUCGAACGGAAAGGCCCUGCUUUUUUGUGGUUCCCGCGUGGCAAACGGGUGAGUAACCCGUGAGUAACCUGCCCUUGGCUUUGGGAUAACUUCAGGAAACUGGGGCUAAUACCGGAUAGGAGCUCCUGCGGCUUGGUGGGGGUUGGACAUUUUAGGCGGUUUGGGAUGGACUGUGGGGUUACUAGUUUGUUGGGGGGGUGGUGGCUUACCAGGGCUUUGACGGGUAGCCGGCCUGGGAGGGUGACCGGGCACAUGGGGACUGAGAGACGGACCAGAGUCGUACGGGAGGCAGCAGUGGGGAAUAUUGCACAAUGGGCGGAAGCCUGAUGCAGCAACGUCGCGUGCGGGAUGACGGCCUUCGGGUUGUAAACCGCUUUCGCCUGUGACGAAGCGGGAGUGACGGUAAUGGGUAAAGAAGCACCGGCUAACUACGUG
Molecule: ribosomal RNA, 468 nt
Filed under: uncultured bacterium
Lineage: Bacteria
Description: partial 16S ribosomal RNA
Rfam family: Bacterial small subunit ribosomal RNA
Source: RNAcentral